CACAAGCGGUGGAGCAUUGUGGUUUAAUUCGACGCAACGCGAAGAACCUUACCAGGUCUUGACAUCCCGAUGCUAUUUCUAGAGAUAGAAAGUUACUUCGGUACAUCGGUGACAGGUGGUGCAUGGUUGUCGUCAGCUCGUGUCGUGAGAUGUUGGGUUAAGUCCCGCAACGAGCGCAACCCCUAUUGUUAGUUGCCAUCAUUCAGUUGGGCACUCUAGCGAGACUGCCGGUAAUAAACCGGAGGAAGGUGGGGAUGACGUCAAAUCAUCAUGCCCCUUAUGACCUGGGCUACACACGUGCUACAAUGGUUGGUACAACGAGUUGCGAGUCGGUGACGGCGAGCUAAUCUCUUAAAGCCAAUCUCAGUUCGGAUUGUAGGCUGCAACUCGCCUACAUGAAGUCGGAAUCGCUAGUAAUCGCGGAUCAGCACGCCGCGGUGAAUACGUUCCCGGGCCUU
This 458-nucleotide ribosomal RNA is filed under the name uncultured Streptococcus sp. RNAcentral's name for it is "bacterial SSU rRNA". It matches the Rfam family "Bacterial small subunit ribosomal RNA", at positions 924 to 1382 of the family's 1533-position model. Lineage: Bacteria; Bacillati; Bacillota; Bacilli; Lactobacillales; Streptococcaceae. The record is from RNAcentral.